This 1034-nucleotide ribosomal RNA is filed under the name Salmonella enterica subsp. enterica serovar Typhimurium. RNAcentral describes it as "partial 23S ribosomal RNA". It matches the Rfam family "Bacterial large subunit ribosomal RNA", at positions 594 to 1547 of the family's 2925-position model. The record is from RNAcentral. Lineage: Bacteria; Pseudomonadati; Pseudomonadota; Gammaproteobacteria; Enterobacterales; Enterobacteriaceae.
UGACUGCGUACCUUUUGUAUAAUGGGUCAGCGACUUAUAUUCUGUAGCAAGGUUAACCGAAUAGGGGAGCCGGAGGGAAACCGAGUCUUAAUUGGGCGUUAAGUUGCAGGGUAUAGACCCGAAACCCGGUGAUCUAGCCAUGGGCAGGUUGAAGGUUGGGUAACACUAACUGGAGGACCGAACCGACUAAUGUUGAAAAAUUAGCGGAUGACCUGUGGCUGGGGGUGAAAGGCCAAUCAAACCGGGAGAUAGCUGGUUCUCCCCGAAAGCUAUUUAGGUAGCGCCUCGUGAAUUCAUCUCCGGGGGUAGAGCACUGUUUCGGCUAGGGGGCCAUCCCGGCUUACCAACCCGAUGCAAACUGCGAAUACCGGAGAAUGUUAUCACGGGAGACACACGGCGGGUGCUAACGUCCGUCGUGAAGAGGGAAACAACCCAGACCGCCAGCUAAGGUCCCAAAGUCAUGGUUAAGUGGGAAACGAUGUGGGAAGGCCCAGACAGCCAGGAUGUUGGCUUAGAAGCAGCCAUCAUUUAAAGAAAGCGUAAUAGCUCACUGGUCGAGUCGGCCUGCGCGGAAGAUGUAACGGGGCUAAACCAUGCACCGAAGCUGCGGCAGCGAACGUAUCACCCAAGACAACUUUACGGAGUUGACGAUUGACGGAGCGAAGCGACGUCAAAGCGUUCAUUAAAGUCGAGUUGGCUUAGGGAUACGUUCGUUGGGUAGGGGAGCGUUCUGUAAGCCUGUGAAGGUGUGUCGUGAGGCAUGCUGGAGGUAUCAGAAGUGCGAAUGCUGACAUAAGUAACGAUAAAGCGGGUGAAAAGCCCGCUCGCCGGAAGACCAAGGGUUCCUGUCCAACGUUAAUCGGGGCAGGGUGAGUCGACCCCUAAGGCGAGGCCGAAAGGCGUAGUCGAUGGGAAACGGGUUAAUAUUCCCGUACUUGGUGUUACUGCGAAGGGGGGACGGAGAAGGCUAUGUUGGCCGGGCGACGGUUGUCCCGGUUUAAGCGUGUAGGUGUGUGUUCCAGGUAAAUCCGGUU